Molecule: ribosomal RNA, 382 nt
Filed under: uncultured bacterium
Lineage: Bacteria
Description: bacterial SSU rRNA
Rfam family: Bacterial small subunit ribosomal RNA
Source: RNAcentral
AACGAACGCUGGCGGCAUGCCUAACACAUGCAAGUCGAACGGGAUCCUAGCUUGCUAGGUGAGAGUGGCGGACGGGUGAGUAACACGUGGGAAUCUGCCUUUUGGUUCGGGAUAACCGCGGGAAACUGCGGCUAAUACCGAAUGCCCUCGAGAGAGGAAAGAUUUAUCGCCAGAAGAGGAGCCCCGCGUCCGAUUAGGUAGUUGGUGGGGUAAAGCCUACCAAGCCGACGAUCGGUAGCUGGUCUGAGAGGAUGAUCAGCCACACUGGGACUGAGAUACGGCCCAGACUCCUACGGGAGGCAGCAGUGGGGAAUAUUGGACAAUGGGGCAACCCUGAUCCAGCAAUGCCGCGUGAGUGAUGAAGGCCUUAGGGUUGUAAAGC